This 161-nucleotide ribosomal RNA is filed under the name uncultured bacterium. Its description in RNAcentral is "partial 16S ribosomal RNA". It matches the Rfam family "Bacterial small subunit ribosomal RNA", at positions 355 to 508 of the family's 1533-position model. The record is from RNAcentral.
UCGAGAAUCUUCGGCAAUGGGCGCAAGCCUGACCGAGCGACGCCGCGUGGAGGAUAAGGUCUUCGGAUUGUAAACUCCUGUUCAUGUGUGAACAAGGCUGUCGCGUUAAUAGCGUGGCAGAUUGAUGGUAACACAAGAGGAAGGGACGGCUAACUCUGUGC